UAGGGAAUCUUCCGCAAUGGACGAAAGUCUGACGGAGCAACGCCGCGUGAGUGAAGAAGGAUUUCGGUUCGUAAAACUCUGUUGUUAGGGAAGAAAAAAUGUAUAGUAACUAUAUACAAAAGAGACGGUACCUAACCAGAAAGCCACGGCUAACUACGUGCCAGCAGCCGCGGUAAUACGUAGGUGGCAAGCGUUGUCCGGAAUUAUUGGGCGUAAAGCGCGCGCAGGUGGUUUAGAAAGUCUGAUGUGAAAGCCCACGGCUCAACCGUGGAGGGUCAUUGGAAACUAAUAAACUUGAGUGCAGGAGAGAAAGUGGAAUUCCUAGUGUAGCGGUGAAAUGCGUAGAGAUUAGGAGGAACACCGGUGGCGAAAGCGGCUUUUUGGCCUGCAACUGACACUGAGGCGCGAAAGCGUGGGGAGCAAACAGG
This 428-nucleotide ribosomal RNA is filed under the name Verrucomicrobiota bacterium. Its description in RNAcentral is "Verrucomicrobia bacterium partial 16S ribosomal RNA". It matches the Rfam family "Bacterial small subunit ribosomal RNA", at positions 355 to 776 of the family's 1533-position model. The record is from RNAcentral. Lineage: Bacteria; Pseudomonadati; Verrucomicrobiota.